Molecule: long non-coding RNA, 10309 nt
Organism: Homo sapiens (human)
Lineage: Eukaryota; Metazoa; Chordata; Mammalia; Primates; Hominidae
Gene: HIVEP2-DT
Product: HIVEP2 divergent transcript
Exons: 3
Source: RefSeq, a predicted model, not a curated record
AGUCUGGAGCCAGUGAGCGAGAGAGGGAUGUGCGGCGCGCGGGGCGACGGGGGAGGGAGGCGGUCGGGAGGGCAGGGCCGGGCCCCACGGCUGCCGCUGCGGGCGGGGAGAUCGCGGCCGCGCACUCGCUCGGUCGGAGCGGGGAACUCCCCGGAGAGCUGGUCUCUACUUGUCAUGCAAAAAAACUUGGGCAUCUCUAGGAGCCUGAGAAUUUCCUUUAAGGAUGUGGAAACGUCCUCCGUCCCCACCCCUUCCCCAUUUCCCAGAGAAUCGUUGUCUGCCUUCCUGACGAACGGAAUUGUAUAAUUAGUAGUGCCCUUAGAUUUGGAACCAGUACUCCGGAUCCCUGGCCUCUCCUCGCCCCCUGCCUCUACUCACAAUUAUGUUAUCGGUCAAGAAAAGCAAAAUCAGACUGUGGCUCCCGGCUGGGUUUCUGGAGCUUUGUAGGGUUUUACUAGCACUUUCCGUGCCCCUGCGGGCGCGCGAACUAUUCACGUGCUCGAAACGCCCGGAUUACCUUCCCUGAGGUCACUCACCAGGGUGCCCCCGGCACCCCCAGUUCGGGGACCGCGGCCCGCCCUCGCCAGGGGAUUCAAAUAGGUGUGGGCAGCGGCGCGAAGAGCAGCUGCCGGUUUCCUGGUGGGCCGCGCUGGAACCUCGGGGCGAGCUGCCACCUUCAGCCUGUGCGCUUCCCUCUCCACGGAAGGGACCGGAGUUGAAAUCACAACCAACCCUGGGAGAGCGGGGCCGGGAGGCGGGGGAAUCCCAGGCGAGUGGGAGCCGAAGCUCUGGGCUUCCUCCCCGGCCGGGCGACACCCGGGGGACACCGGGGCUCUCUCGGGCCGUUACCCUGCCUAUGUGGACUGGUGUGCACCCUCGGGGGAGGUUCCUAGGGUGCCACGGUGCCCGAGCGCGACGAGUGACUGCUGGGGAGGGGGGCCGGGUCCCGGAGCGCCUCCUCCGGGUGGUCUCCCCCCCAGCGGGGACCGCGCGCAGCACCUCGCGGGCGCCCCAGCCCCCGCACCCUGCGGAGCAGAGCCGAGCGCCCAGGACGCCGCGGGCCCCAGCGGUCCUCCCCACCCCCUGGCCGCGCCGCCGCCCUGCCCGGGGCGGAGUAAACAAGAGACGCGCAAGAUUUGACCUGGCGCGACCCGGCUUUCUGGCCGGGGUUCCCCCUGAGCAGGUGACUCCGUGGGAGGGGUGGAAAUGAGUCUCUGGAAUUCCGGGCCAAAGACAAUAACUGUGGUUCUGCUUUUAAAGCAGGUAUUUCACCAGCAACUGCGGAAUGUUUUGUGUCUCCAGUUUCAAAUUUCGCGGAAAGGGACCAAAUGUGAGGACAUAUAAAAUAUCCCCUUCUCUUUUCAUUAAAAAUGAGUGCAUUACAAAGGAAGGGCAGCCCCUUAAUGCCUGCGAGAAUAGCGCUGCUGGUUUCGUUUUUGUUUUGUUUUGUUUUGUUUUUCAUUCUGACCCACAAUCAGUGUAUUUUUGAGGUCCCUAUGCAAUGGCGACGGUGCCGUGAAGGGCAACUCAGCAAAAUAAAGCGGUGAUACAUUUUUUAACCGAUUUUUUUCUCAGAGGAGAAAAAUCUGAACAAUUUGGCCUAAGUUUCACUUUGUCCUUCUCUUAGGUUGAUCUCAUUUAAAUUCAGGGCCUACUUCCACUUAAGCAACUUCUUCUUUCAUUGUAUAGGUUCUUUAAUAUCCAACCUUUUUAAACUUAACUUGAAGCCUUUAAUUUAAAAAACUGUCCCAAUCAUCAUUUUCUUUUCAAUGUAUGCAGUUGCAUUUUAAACAUCCAUUUAACACACAAAAUGUGAUUUUUGAAAUUUUUUUCACUUUCAAACCCACCUGCUACAUACUCCCAGAGAGCGUUUUAUUUAAUUGCUUAAUAGAGAAGAUUAAGCAGUUUCUUUAAGAAUCCAAUUUCCCUUCAACAAGCACAACAGCAGCUGCCCAAGCUCCCAGAAACUAAGCAAAGGCAAGUAGCAGGCAGCGUUUUGCUUCACUAGAAUGAAUGUUAGUUGAAACCUUAAAUACCUCUUUAAAAGACUAGAUUAAAGAGAAUAAUGGGAAUAUUAAGAUACUCCGGUAGUUAGUUAAAAUAUUUUUUAAGGAAAACCAGGCAGAUAUACAUCUAUUUUGAUGAUUUGAUCCCACCUUCAAAGAGGAUCCCUGAAAAGAGUUUUAGUCACAAUUUGACAAAUUUUAAAUAAUUACUUUGUUUCAGAGUCAUGAGGAUGGAAAGAAGAUAGCCUGCGUUGAGUUGAAGUAAAGUAAAAAUAUUAUGAAUAUGUGUAACUAGGUGACAUCCUCUCUGCUGGGAAGAAUCCUUUUUUUUUUUUUUUUUUUUUUUCUGGUGACAGGUUCUUGCUCCAUCACCCAGGCUGGAGUGCAGUGGCAUGAUCUUGGCUCACUGCAGCCUCUCCCUUUCAGGCUCAAGCAAUCCUCCCACCUCAGCCUCCCGAGUGGAGGGGGAGCCACUGCAGAUCUGGAGCAAAUCAGCACCAGCCACUCCAGAGCCUGACCUACAUAGGACUCAGAAAGCAUUGUCUAUUGUGAUUGAUUAUUCCUGUGUUCAGUCCCAAUGGCCUAUUGAUUGGGGGUUUCUCUCCAAAAGGCUGCAUGGCUUUUCUUCUCUAAGUGAAUCUCCUUUAUAACCCAUAUUUUAUGUCUAUAUACCAAACAUGCUAUCCAUAUUUAGUCAAUGUCCAGUUGCUUGCAUGUAAGGGCAAUAGAGUAAUCAGAAAACUCUUCCCAGAAAGCCCCCGAAGACAAAACUAGUACUGGUAGAAAACUGGGCAUGCAGCUCUAAGAAACUCUAUGGGAAGUGAGGCUGGGUGGGGCACAGCUGCCCCAGCCUGGCACCCAUAUGGAGCAUCAGCAAGGAAGUAGGAACUUUCUUUUCAUCAUGCAUCCUUCUUAUCACUUCUCAGUUUCAAAGGGAAAGAAAAUUUGGUAAUCUGCAUUUUGAGACAUUAAGAAAAUAAAAUAAUUAAUGGCUUCAUGGUUAUAUGGCAUUUUUCAGAGUAUUGUCAGAAAAUCAUUUCGAACUGAAAUUUUCAUUCAAAAAUAUUUAUUGAAUGCCGGCUAUGUGCUGAAGAUUCUUAAGAUACAUCAGUGAACAAAUCAAAGUUCCCUGCUUUCUUGGAGCUUGCAUUCCAGCGGGAGGAGAGGAUUUGGAGGAAGAAUGGGAUAGACAAUAAAUCACAAGACCUCCUGCCACAGAGCAUGGGACCUGAUAUAUCCAGGCAGGAGAACUGGGUACCAGGAGACACUGUACAUGAAGUUUCCAGAACCAGCCAUGUCCAUCUUACUAAUCAAGACUCUCUCUGUUAAAUCUGCAACUCAAAUGACUUUAAGGAAAAAUGGAUUUCAUUGAUUCACAUAACCAUCACUCAAGGACUAACUUUCAACAUAGUGAGAUCCUGAGGCUCAAAUAUUAUUACCCGGGUUCCAUGAACUGCUUCCUCUGACAUGAGAUCUAACAAGGCUAAAGACUAAAAUGCAGCUGUUUACAGCGUAAGUAGGAGGCCGUCCCGUGCAGUGCAAAAUCAACAGAGAGGAGACAGUCCUAUGCCUUCGAGAGACAGUCUGCUGAUACUGUCAUGAUGUCUAGUGACAGGCCAGAGAUCAAAACCCAACACCCUCAUUUACCUGACAGUGAUUUGGCCAAUCCCUUAACAUCUCUAAGAGCUUCAUUUUUCUACAAAAUUGAGACAAUAGUAUUUGUUUCAUAGUGUUACUGUCAGGGUUAAAUGUUAUACAUUAAGCAUUUAAUAUAUGCUGCUUGUUUAUCUAAAUAUUCAUGGUCAGGCACUAACUUCUUAUGUGACUCUGAGCAAUGCAUUCAUCUCUGUACCUGUUUCCUCAUCCAUAAAUUGGGAGUUGAACAAGGUGAGCCCUAAGUUUCGUUCCAACUUCAAUAUUCUAUAAUUCUUGCAACUUAUAUGGCCUCAGUUUUCUUAUCUUUAUAAUGGGCAUAAGAGUACCUACCUCACAGAAUUUUUGAGAGGAUAAAAUGAAUUAAGACAGGUAGAAAAUUCUUAGAACAGUGCCUGCCACAUUGGAAGUGCUUAAUAUGUAUUAGCUGUGAUGAUGCUGCUAAUGAUGAAGAUGAUAAUGACCCUAUUUGCAGAUAGUAUGGCAGCCAUAAAACAUUCAGUAUCAGAUUGAUUACAUUCUCUUAUUUUCUGAGUCAAUGCCAGAGCUACCAAGAUUUUAUUCUUUAAAGGUUCUUCAAGACUAAAUUCUUUUUACAUGAUAUGAUUAUUACACAUUGUAUGUCCGUAUCAGACCAGCCUGGCCAACAAGGUGAAACCCCAUCUCUAAAAAUACAAAAAUUAGCAGGGCAUGGUGGCACGCACCUGUAGUCCCAGCUACUCGGGAGGCUGAGGCAGGAGAAUCACUUGAACCCGGGAGGCAGAGAUUGCAGUGAGCUGAGAUCGUGCCACUGCACUCCAGCCUGGCAGAGUGAGACUCCAUCUUAAAAAAUAAAUAAAUAAAUAAAUAAAUAAAUCUCAUGUACUCCAUAGAUAUGGGGUACCUACUAUGUACUCACAAAAAUUAAUUUUUUUUUAGAAAAGCCUAAGCUCAUUUGCUUCUUAGUAAGAAUUAUGUUAAGAUUUCCCAGUGUAGAUACCCUAGGCUGCUAAUUUUUUUUCUUUUGUUAUCAGUAUCUUAAGAAAUUAAUUGGCCCGGGAGUGGUGGCUCAUGCCUGUAAUCCCUGCAGUUUGGAAGGCCAAGAUGGGAGGAUUGUUUGAGGCCAAGAGUUCAAAACCAGCCUGGGCAACAUAGUGAGAUACUAUCUGUAUAUAAAAUAAAAAAAUUAGUGAGGCAUGGUGUCAUAAGCCUGUGGUCCCAGCUACUUGGGAGGCUGAGGUGAGAGGAUUGCUUGAGCCCAGGAGGUCAAGGCUGCAGUGAGCUGUGAUGGUGACACUGCACUCCAGCCUGGGCUAUAGAGCAAGACCCUGUCACCCUCCUCAAAAAAAAAAAAAAAAAGCAAUUAAUUGAUUUAUUUAUGGCCAUUCUCUCUUUUUGUGAGCUGGAUAUGUGUUCACUUUCAUUCUAAAAACGUACAGCCCCCAAAGCCCACACAUGUUGUCAAAGCUCACUACAUUUACCUAGAGAGUUUCCUGUAGUCUCCUCUUUCAAGUAUUUUAAAUAAUGCGUAAUUUCUUCAUGUAACUGAAACAUGUUAAUGUUGAGUUGGCACAGGAAGAAAAGUUUUGAUUUACUCAGAACUGGGAUUUGUGUGGGUCAUUUCCUAGUCCUCCUAAGUAUUUAACAAAUGUAAAAUGUAACACACAAUUAAAUAAGCUACCCAAGCCAAAUGAACUGGUGAGUGCAUUAUAAAUAGCAACCAAAAUUAUUCUUCAGUUGUUAACUGGUAUGUCCUGAUUUAAUAAUGAAUUACAUCAUUUGACAAAUGAGAUAAGACUUCCACCUUUAGCUUUCUGAUCCAAACUUCUAAUAGUUGAAAUGUAUUAUUACCAUCUGGUGUCUGGCCUCUGAAAUGCCCUGGCGAUAUCUGCCUCAUUUCAAGUAGUUGGGGCUUGCAUAUGCCAGCAAAGCACUCUCCGAAGUGUCUUGAUUGGCAGGCCCAGAGAGAAGGCUAAGAACCGAAUGAACCAUGGAGAUAUAGCUCCAGCUCUGUAGAAGUUUCCUCUGGUUCAAGGCAGACUCAUUUUCUUAGUUUGUGCAGCAAAAAAAUUGUCAUGAUCGAAGUUGUUUUUAUUUUGGAUCUCAAUCCUGAAGGAUGCAAUUCCUAUACUUACCAAGAAUGUUUCCAUCUGUUUUAAAUUAUUUCACUCCUUUUACAAACUGGCAAUAAUUUUAACACCUUUUAUUUUCAGUGAAAAUAAUUCGAGAAUGAAGCUGAGAAUGAUACAUAAGCCUAGAGUUUUAACUCAGUGAAGUAAUAUGAUUCUGACAGUUCUUUAUUUUUUCCACAUUGUGUUAGAUUCCUAGUAAAAAGGGAAGAUGAAUCUUAUUGCUUUCAAAAACCUGACAAUAUGGUAUGUAGGACAGAAUGAACAUACAUAGAACAAUAUCCAAUAACACAGAUGAAGGUGUCAAAGCCAUUGCCAGACAGAGUGGUGCAGAUUGUGAGAUCAGUUUUCUUGGUAAGUGUUAUGGACUGAAUGUUGGUAUUCUCUAACAUUCAUAGAUUAUAAUCUAAUCCCCAAUGUGAUGGUAGCACUAUCUGGGGGUGAGACCUUUGGGAAGUAAAGGUCUUUUUCUCUCCACACCUGACCAAAAGUAGGAGCUCAACAAAUGUAUGUGCACUGAAAUGGAAUGGGGGCAAACAGCCUGGUGGUAUAGUACAAAGCAAAAUUUGGUUAUGGUAGGAGCAGUACAGAUACAUCUGGAUCACAAUCUAAAUUCUCUCCAGGGACCAAAUACAUAGAUUUACCCCUUGGGUUAUUGGUCUGGUAGACUCUUAAUUUUUAAUAGGGUUUAUAUAAUCUAGACUUCUUAUAACCUCUGCCCCACUGGAUAUAGGUAUUACUCAGUUGAAGUUAAAAAUUGAAUAUAGGAUUAUAUGCAAUGCUUUAUCUAUAACUUUCUUGUAAGGAUAAACUCAGUACAUCUCUGGUUUUCUAAUAUUUUGGAGGAAAUGUUACAAAUAGGUAAGGAAAGUUUGAGCCUCAUUUACGCAUGAGGGUGGACCCCUCCUGAAUGAGAUUAAUGUCCUUAUAAGAAAAGGCCAGAGAGCUAGCUCACUCUCUUUCAGCAUGUGAGGACACAAGAAGCCCAGAGUCUGCAACCUGAAAGAGGGCCCUCACUAGAACCCAAUCAUGCUGACGCUGUGAUCUUGGACUUUCAGGCUCCAGAACUGUGAGAAAUAAAUUUCUGUUGUUUAUAAGCCAUCCAUUUCAUGACAAUUUGUUAUAGUGGCCUGAACAAAGACAAUAGGUAUAAAAGAGAAUUGAUAAAGAUGAAAUUUAGGAAUACAAUUAGAAGUGAAAUGCAAAUAACAAGAGGGUGACCCCGGAGUAGAAAAGUGUCUGUGUCUGGUAGAUUUGAAUAGUUUACAAAUGCCAAGCCUGUGCAAAAUAGGAGUUACCAAUAUUAAUGGCUGCAUCAUUACAAGGUGUAUCCAAAAGACACUUAAGAUUAAGUCUGUGUUUGUCAGUGGGGAGGUGAGAGUAGGAAAUGUUAAAUAACCUGCCCUUUGUCACUCAGCCAACAAGUAAGAGAGCAGGGAAUCAAGUUCAGAUCUAAGUCCUCUAAAGUUAUUCCCCAAACUCCUCACAGCUUCACUUAAUAACCAUUUCCUGCUUUGGUUGACUUUACAAAGAUGACCAUACAUUUGAGAGCAAAAGGGGAAGCUAUGAAUCAUUACAUCUGGACAAAUGGCAUGAAUCAAGAUCAUCCACUGCCAACUAGAGUGUAUGUUCAUCUUCUGUCUAUAUAUCUUCAUUCCCAGACAUCUACCAGACAUCCAGUGACUUAUCUGAGAAGUACACUUGGAGGUCAGUUUCUUGGAGUAAAUUGAUCAAAGUGUUAAAAUUCUGGAAAGUUAUUGUAUUUUAAAAUAGUUCACACAAAAAAAUAGUACAAUGAAAUGAAUCACUAUUAGUGGAAUUUCAGGCCCUCAGGUACCUGAUAAUAAGAACUCUUUCAAAACAACAUAACUUUCCUGGUACCUGUCAAAUCACAAUUUCUAUAUGAGAUAUGGCCAGCUGGGUAUUCAAGGAUAAUUGGUCAGCUACUGUGAUGAUUAAUAUGGAGUGUCAACUUGUUUGCAUUGAAGGAUGCAAAGUAUUGUUCCUGGGUUUGUCUGUGAGGGUUGUAUUAGUCUGUUUUCAUGACACUGAUAAAGACAUAUCUGAGACUGGGCAAUUUACAAAAGAAAGAGGUUUAUUGGACUUUCAGUUCCACAUGGCUGGGGAGGCCUCACAAUCAUGGUGGAAGGUGAAAAGCACAUCUCACAUGGCGGCAGACAAAAGCAGAGAGCUUGUGCAGGGAAACUCUCAUUUUGAAAACCAUCAUAUCUCAUGACACUUAUUCACUAUCAUGAGAACAUCAUGGGAAAGACCUGCUCCCAUGAUUCAAUUACCUCCCACUGGGUCACUCCUACAACACGUGGGAAUUCAAGAUAACAUUUGGGUGAGGAUACAGCCAAAUCAUAUCAAGGGUGCUGCCAAAGGAGAUUAACAUUUGAGUCAGUAGACUGGAAGAGGCAGACCCACCCUCAAUCUGAGUGGUUACCAUCUAAGCAUCUGCCAAUGCAGCUAGAAUAAAGCAAGCAGAAGAAAGUGGAAUGAGAAGACUUGCUGAGUCUUCUGGUCAUCAUCUUUUCCCCAUGCUGGAUGCUUCUUGCCCUUGAACAUCAGACUCCAAGUUCUUCAGCUUUCAGACUCUUGGACUUAGAGCAGUGGUUUGCUAGGGGCCCUCAGGCCUUCAGCCACAGACUGAAGCCUGCACUGUCGACUUCCCUACUUUUGAGGUUUUGGUACUUGGAUUGGCUUCCUUGCUCCUCAGCUUACAGCUGGCCUAUUAUGGGACUUCACCCUGUGAUCGUGAGUCAAUUAUCCUAAUAAACUCCCCUUCAUAUAUACAUAUAUAUUAUUAGUUCUUACCUCUAGCGAACCCUGACUAAUACAGAUUUCUAGAUGUACAGAUGGAUUGAGAGGCAAACACUCUAAAUUAACAAGGCAGAAAUGAAAGAGCUGUUCUGCCCAAGAUCUUCAGCACUGCUCAGACCUCUAUAAGAAUUUCUUAUCCAGUUCAAAACUUAUCAACUUAAGAAAAAUAUAGAAAAUUUGUAAAGCAUUCAGAAGAAACUAAAGACUAAAGCAAAAUGAUAUGUUCAAAUACUUAACACUGCCAAAAUGUAAUGCAUUUCAAUAAAGUGAUAUAUGUCCUUAACUCACACAAAUUAAUAAAUGUCUAAUAGACAUACAUAUGGGAAGUGAAUAUCAAAUGCCUGUGUACUAUUUGUAUAAAAUCUAAGUUAAAACUCAUUUCCAUCCCAAAGAUGUGUGAUAUGUAAAAUAAUAUUCUACGUAUUUUGUUUAAUUUUGGGGGGUCAUUUAAGAUUUUUUUAUUUGCAGAAAAAAGAUGCUACAAACAAAAUUAAUGGGAAAAAACAAAAAUUAGUACCAAAAGAGGAAACGAGGACAAGGAAAAACACGAGCACAUAGAAAAAUGUAAAAAUACUCAAGCCAGGCUCAGAGAACCAGCAUCCCUGACAGCAAGUGUUGUUAAACAUCCACGUGGGUUGCUAAGGAAGGUUAGGGAAUCUCCCUUUCCCAGAAGUCUUUAAAAAUAGGAUAACAUCUGUUUGGAUGGGAUAAUGGUGGUACUGCUUGACUUGGCAGCUUCUUAAGCAAACCUAUGGUUUGGUAAUUCUACCAUUUCUAUUUCUGAUUUGAAAAGUAACAAAUAACUUCAGUUCACCUAGAAAAUUGGGCCUUAUAAUGACUUGUAAUAUUGUCUUAUAAAACUAUUUUCAUUGUCAUUAAUAGUGCAAAGGUAGAUAAUUGAGGUUUUCAGAGUAUACUUGAAUUUGCAGCCAAGGCUCAAACUUUCCUUAUCUAUUUGUAACAUUUCCUCCAAAAUAUUAGAAAACCAGAGAUGUACUGAGUUUAUCCUUACAAGAAAGUUAUAGAUAAAGCAUUGCACAUAAUCCUAUAUUCAAUUUUUAACUUCAACUGAGUAAUGCCUGUAUUCAGUGGGGCAGAGCUUAUAAGAAGUCUAGAUUAUAUAAACCCUAUUAAAAAUUGGAGUCUGCCAGACCAAUAACCCAAGGGGUAAAACAUAUAUAUUUGGUCCCUGGAGAGAAUUUAGACUGUGAUCCAGAUGUAUCUGUACUCCUCUUACCAUAACCAAAUUUUGCUUUCUACUAUACUACCAGACUGUUUGCCCCCAUUCCUUUUCACUGCACAUAUAUUUGUUGAGCUCCUACUUUUGGUCAGGUGUGGAGAGAAAAAGCCCACAGUCCCUGCCCUUGAGGAACACAUAAUCCAAAAAAAAAUGCAUGGGUGGCUCCAGGUGUUGUAGGGUCUUAGGCAAGUAUAAUUUUGGACAUGCAUUUUAAGAAAAAGAAUACAAAAUUACAAAUGCAGAAUUACUAAUAAAAGUGAAUAUUUAUUGUAUAGAGAAAAUUAAUCACAACAAAUUACAAGUUUUAGCAUUCUCACAAAUGCCAGAAAUACCACAAAAUCUCAGAAAAAAACCUAUAUUUUGUAUUAAUUAGCUGACUGAUCACAUGUAUAAUUCUACGUGUUCUACUUUUGGUUGCAUAUUGUUGACCACAUGAGAAAAAUUUCUUUAUUUACUUAUUCAGAUGGAGUUUCGCUCUG